This 484-nucleotide ribosomal RNA is filed under the name uncultured bacterium. Its description in RNAcentral is "partial 16S ribosomal RNA". It matches the Rfam family "Bacterial small subunit ribosomal RNA", at positions 30 to 507 of the family's 1533-position model. The record is from RNAcentral.
AUUGAACGCUGGCGGCAGGCCUAACACAUGCAAGUCGAGCGGAUGAAGGGAGCUUGCUCCUGGAUUCAGCGGCGGACGGGUGAGUAAUGCCUAGGAAUCUGCCUGGUAGUGGGGGAUAACGUCCGGAAACGGGCGCUAAUACCGCAUACGUCCUGCGGGAGAAAGUGGGGGAUCUUCGGACCUUACGCUAUCAGAUGAGCCUAGGUCGGAUUAGCUAGUUGGUGGGGUAAAGGCCUACCAAGGCGACGAUCCGUAACUGGUCUGAGAGGAUGAUCAGUCACACUGGAACUGAGACACGGUCCAGACUCCUACGGGAGGCAGCAGUGGGGAAUAUUGGACAAAGGGCGAAAGCCUGAUCCAGCCAUGCCGCGUGUGUGAAGAAGGUCUUCGGAUUGUAAAGCACUUUAAGUUGGGAGGAAGGGCAGUAAGUUAAUACCUUGCUGUUUUGACGGUACCAACAGAAUAAGCACCGGCUAACUUCGUG